GGUUCCAUAGCAUAGCGGUGAGCACGCCUGCUUUACACGCAGAAGGUCCUGUGUUCGUGCCCCGGUGGAGCCA
Non-coding RNA from Pteropus alecto (black flying fox), 73 nucleotides. NCBI's taxonomy places the organism in Eukaryota, Metazoa, Chordata, Mammalia, Chiroptera, Pteropodidae. The record is from Rfam.